AAUUACUUUAACCAGCCGCAACGUAAAGUCCCUGGAGAAAGUGUGUGCUGACUUAAUCAGAGGUGCAAAGGAAAAGAAUCUCAAGGUGAAAGGACCAGUUCGGAUGCCAACCAAGACAUUGAGAAUCACUACAAGAAAAACACCUUGUGGUGAAGGUUCUAAGACUUGGGAUCGUUUCCAGAUGAGAAUUCACAAGCGACUCAUUGAUUUGCACAGUCCUUCUGAGAUUGUU
Long non-coding RNA from Tupaia belangeri chinensis (Chinese tree shrew), 232 nucleotides. RefSeq lists it as uncharacterized. The record is from RefSeq and is a predicted model, not a curated record. Lineage: Eukaryota; Metazoa; Chordata; Mammalia; Scandentia; Tupaiidae. The transcript has 3 exons.